Molecule: ribosomal RNA, 466 nt
Filed under: Vreelandella stevensii
Lineage: Bacteria; Pseudomonadati; Pseudomonadota; Gammaproteobacteria; Oceanospirillales; Halomonadaceae
Description: partial 16S ribosomal RNA
Rfam family: Bacterial small subunit ribosomal RNA
Source: RNAcentral
CCUACGGGUGGCAGCAGUGGGGAAUAUUGGACAAUGGGCGAAAGCCUGAUCCAGCCAUGCCGCGUGUGUGAAGAAGGCCUUCGGGUUGUAAAGCACUUUCAGUGGGGAAGAAAGCCUUGGGGCUAAUACCCUCGAGGAAGGACAUCACCCACAGAAGAAGCACCGGCUAACUCCGUGCCAGCAGCCGCGGUAAUACCGGAGGGUGCGAGCGUUAAUCGGAAUUACUGGGCGUAAAGCGCGCGUAGGCGGUCUGAUAAGCCGGUUGUGAAAGCCCCGGGCUCAACCUGGGAACGGCAUCCGGAACUGUCAGGCUAGAGUGCAGGAGAGGAAGGUAGAAUUCCCGGUGUAGCGGUGAAAUGCGUAGAGAUCGGGAGGAAUACCAGUGGCGAAGGCGGCCUUCUGGACUGACACUGACGCUGAGGUGCGAAAGCGUGGGUAGCAAACAGGAUUAGAUACCCCGGUAGUC